GGGUGUCUGAUAUCAUUUGAGGGUUUCAGCACAUGAACCACGGUGGAAGAAUGGUACUUGGGUUCUAGUCAGUGACAUGAAUUCUUGCAUAAAAUUCAAAACUAAAGUUACAAUUUUUCCUAGGUUGGAAUUAGCCCCAUUUUAACCUUUAAUACAUGUAAUCUAAGAGGAAAAGAAAAGAAAAGGCGGAGUGGAUGAUUAAUGGUGUUUACUAUAGUUGUGAGCAGGGCCAUCUGGGAGUGCAAAUCAGAACUACCUGUGAUACUGUGGAGUAGCUGCCAUUCAUGAGAGCUGCCUUUAUUCUGUGUCUUUAGGGAUGGGUCUAUUUAGGGAAGGGUGGCAGAGAUAAUUGAUAAAUGCUUUAGUUCUAUACUAAAUGUGAACAACAAUUUGGGUUCCAUUUCCUUAGACUUAUGUGUCUAAAAUUGAAAUACUGGGACAUGAGAGGCAUCAUUUUUUUCUUUUUGUAUUUCUGAUUUAUGAACAACCUCAGAAUGUGAACUGACUAGCAAUUUGACCAAACCAACACACAUUUCAUAGAAAAGAGAGCAACUCAAAGAUGGGAUUCUGGAUGCAUGAGACAUGUUUGCUGGCCAAUCUUGUUACUGGGCAAGGUCAACUAUAGCUGAAGAGCCUCAACUUGUAGCAGUGCAAACAGGACACUAACAUGACCUGUCUGCAUUUUCAUAGCUCACAGGCAAAAGCUGCUCCUCAGAAGAAAGGCAGGAUGGAAAAACAGUGGUUUUUCAAGACAACAGAAAAGUAUGAACAAGUGCCUGGUCUGCUCUAGACUUUUAAAAACUUAAUAUGUAUCAUAUACUUAGAGACAUUCAUACAUCACAAGUAGGUGGCUCAAUGAAUUUUCGAAGGGUGCUCAUACAGUUCAUUAUUCCCAUGAUAAAGAAACAGGACACCAGGAGCAAGAGAGAUGUUUCAGUGGUGAUGAACAGAGCAACUCUUCAAGAAGACAAAGGCUGGAUUCCUAGCACUAACAUGGCAUGUCACAGCAUCCUUAAACUACACUUCCAGGAUUUUUGAUGCCCUCGUCUUCAGAGGAACCUCGGGCCAGAACAUUACAUCAGUUAUAAGGAUUCCUAGAUGACAGCUUCACUUGUCGAUUUGACAUACAUGGGAAAAAGGACACUCAGCUGAAGAGUUGCUUCCAUUAGGUUUGUCUCCGUACAUGACUAGGUAGGAUCCAAGGUAUUUUCCAGAAGUUAUCUAGAAAGAUGGUGUGUUUAAAAUUUAUAGGAAGAACUGAAAAAUUUAACUGCUGCUGAGGAACAUGGUGCUGGUUUGAGAAGAUGAGAGGCCCUGUCCAGAGGCUGGUUUGAGAAGAUGAGAGGCACAGUAACAGCUCUUGGCUGGUACAUCAUCAUCUACCACCUAAGGUCUAUAAAACCUCCCUGCCUUAAGCUUCUUUGGGAUCAGUGAACUCACCUGAGAGCCACUACCAACAAACCUACAGUUAUUUGUUCUUAUUGUGGUCUGAUCUUGCUUUUUUACAUUGGCAGAAAUGAAUCAAAAUUGUAGGUAAAACUGUAAUUCCAUUAUGGCAACAAGAAAGUGAAUUGAAGAAUAUGUUACAGAAUGAAAUGUACCAGAGAGUAAGAAAAGGCACAGUGGGUGUACAGAAAGUGUUAGUGGGAGAGGAUCAUGAUGGUAAGGUGGCUCACUUCAGAUGAAGUCUUCACUGGUAGCCUCACUAAGCAGGUCUGAUUCAUGAGGGGAAGACACUAGAAACAAAAGGCUAUUAGACUCUAUGGAGGCAGGUAAGAAAGUUGAAGGAGUUUAUUCCUGGUAUUUGUUGCUUUGUCAAAAUUUUGUUCUAAGACGAAGAGUGUGGCAAAAGGUUUGACUUGUGGGUUUGAAUUGCUGUCAAUAAAAUCAAUUAAAACAUCUGUUCCCAGCCUGA
Mesocricetus auratus (golden hamster) is the source of this 1915-nucleotide long non-coding RNA. RefSeq lists it as uncharacterized. The transcript is spliced from 5 exons. The record is from RefSeq and is a predicted model, not a curated record. NCBI's taxonomy places the organism in Eukaryota, Metazoa, Chordata, Mammalia, Rodentia, Cricetidae.